This 444-nucleotide ribosomal RNA is filed under the name Mogibacterium pumilum. Its description in RNAcentral is "bacterial SSU rRNA". It matches the Rfam family "Bacterial small subunit ribosomal RNA", at positions 337 to 796 of the family's 1533-position model. Lineage: Bacteria; Bacillati; Bacillota; Clostridia; Peptostreptococcales; Anaerovoracaceae. The record is from RNAcentral.
CUCUACGGAAGGCAGCAGUAGGGAAUCUUGCACAAUGGGCGAAAGCCUGAUGCAGCAACGCCGCGUGAAGGAUGAAGGCCUUCGGGUUGUAAACUUCUGUUCUUAGGGAAGAAGAAAGUGACGGUACCUAAGGAGAAAGCCCCGGCUAACUACGUGCCAGCAGCCGCGGUAAUACGUAGGGGGCAAGCGUUAUCCGGAAUUAUUGGGCGUAAAGAGUGCGUAGGUGGUUAUCUAAGCGUAAGGUUUAAGCGUGCAGCUCAACUGCAUCUCGCCUUGCGAACUGGACUACUUGAGUGCAGGAGGGGAAAGCGGAAUUCCUAGUGUAGCGGUGAAAUGCGUAGAUAUUAGGAGGAACACCAGCGGCGAAGGCGGCUUUCUGGACUGUAACUGACACUGAGGCACGAAAGCGUGGGGAGCAAACAGGAUUAGAUACCCUGGUAGUCC